AUGAGAGCAGAGCUUCAUCCAGCAGUGAGUGACAGAGGAACCAGCAGAAUAUCUGCAGUGUGAAGAGCUGUGAGAGUCCAGCAUCGAACCAGGGUUCCUCUGGAUGUGACUCACUGGUUAACAGGAGAGUUCCAUGUUAAAAUGGGUGCAGAUCUGUUCCAGACAAAGACAGAUGGUGUUUGACUCCAUGAAUCAGUUUA
Molecule: long non-coding RNA, 200 nt
Organism: Salarias fasciatus (jewelled blenny)
Lineage: Eukaryota; Metazoa; Chordata; Actinopteri; Blenniiformes; Blenniidae
Exons: 2
Source: RefSeq, a predicted model, not a curated record